GAUGAACGCUAGCGGCAGGCUUAACACAUGCAAGUCGAGGGGCAGCGGGGUGUAGCAAUACAUCGCCGGCGACCGGCGCACGGGUGCGUAACACGUAUGGAAUCUGCCCUGUACUGGGGGAUAGCCCUCCGAAAGGAGGAUUAAUACCCCAUAACAACUUGAGUGGCAUCACUUGGGUUUGAAAGCUCCGGCGGUACAGGAUGACCAUGCGCCCGAUUAGCUAGUAGGUGAGGUAACGGCUCACCUAGGCUACGAUCGGUAGGGGGCCUGAGAGGGUUAUCCCCCACACUGGUACUGAGACACGGACCAGACUCCUACGGGAGGCAGCAGUGAGGAAUAUUGCGCAAUGGAGGCAACUCUGACGCAGCCAUGCCGCGUGCAGGAAGAAGGCGCUACGCGUUGUAAACUGCUUUUAACCGGGAAGAAACCCCAGGACGUGUCCUGGGUUGACGGUACCGGAGGAAUAAGCACCGGCUAACUUCGUGCCAGCAGCCGCGGUAAAGU
This 504-nucleotide ribosomal RNA is filed under the name uncultured bacterium. RNAcentral describes it as "bacterial SSU rRNA". It matches the Rfam family "Bacterial small subunit ribosomal RNA", at positions 28 to 526 of the family's 1533-position model. The record is from RNAcentral.